CUCGUAGGCGGUUCGUCGCGUCCGGUGUGAAAGUCCAUCGCUUAACGGUGGAUCCGCGCCGGGUACGGGCGGGCUUGAGUGCGGUAGGGGAGACUGGAAUUCCCGGUGUAACGGUGGAAUGUGUAGAUAUCGGGAAGAACACCAAUGGCGAAGGCAGGUCUCUGGGCCGUUACUGACACUGAGGAGCGAAAGCGUGGGGAGCGAACA
This 207-nucleotide ribosomal RNA is filed under the name uncultured bacterium. RNAcentral's name for it is "partial 16S ribosomal RNA". It matches the Rfam family "Bacterial small subunit ribosomal RNA", at positions 568 to 774 of the family's 1533-position model. The record is from RNAcentral.